Molecule: ribosomal RNA, 464 nt
Filed under: Vreelandella stevensii
Lineage: Bacteria; Pseudomonadati; Pseudomonadota; Gammaproteobacteria; Oceanospirillales; Halomonadaceae
Description: partial 16S ribosomal RNA
Rfam family: Bacterial small subunit ribosomal RNA
Source: RNAcentral
CCUAGGGGGGCAGCAGUGGGGAAUAUUGGACAAUGGGCGAAAGCCUGAUCCAGCCAUGCCGCGUGUGUGAAGAAGGCCUUCGGGUUGUAAAGCACUUUCAGUGGGGAAGAAAGCCUUGGGGCUAAUACCCUCGAGGAAGGACAUCACCCACAGAAGAAGCACCGGCUAACUCCGUGCCAGCAGCCGCGGUAAUACGGAGGGUGCGAGCGUUAAUCGGAAUUACUGGGCGUAAAGCGCGCGUAGGCGGUCUGAUAAGCCGGUUGUGAAAGCCCCGGGCUCAACCUGGGAACGGCAUCCGGAACUGUCAGGCUAGAGUGCAGGAGAGGAAGGUAGAAUUCCCGGUGUAGCGGUGAAAUGCGUAGAGAUCGGGAGGAAUACCAGUGGCGAAGGCGGCCUUCUGGACUGACACUGACGCUGAGGUGCGAAAGCGUGGGUAGCAAACAGGAUUAGAUACCCGAGUAGUC